RNAcentral lists this non-coding RNA (37 nucleotides) under unclassified sequences. Its description in RNAcentral is "DUF805b RNA". It matches the Rfam family "DUF805b RNA". From Rfam's summary of the family: Bacteroidetes, Chlorobi (1 example), Proteobacteria. Lineage (Flavobacteria) The record is from RNAcentral.
ACGGACAAACCCGAAAAUCCGUAAAAAAGAGUAGGAA